GUAAUAUACAAUGCAAGCAUAAUAAUGUUAACUGAAAAUGCCUCUGCAGCACAUACUGUGACAUGUACUGAUCUUAAAACAGUCAACUCUCCUUAUCUGUCGGUUCUGCAUUAGCGGAUUCAACCAACCAAUGAUCAAAAAUAUUUUUGAAAAUAUUUUAGAAAAAGAAAGAAUGGUAGCAUAUAUACCCAACAUGGCCAGACUUUAUUUUCUUGUUAUCAUUCCUUAAAUAAUACACUAUUAACAACUAUUUACAUAGCAUUUACAAUAUAUUAGGUAGUAAAGUAAUCCAGAGAUGAUUUAAAGUCUAUGGGAGGAUGUGUAUAGGCUACAUGCAAAUACUAUGCCAUUUUAUAUAAGUGACUUGAGCAUCUGUGGAUUUUGGUAUCUGAGGCGUGAAGGAGGGGCUGUCCUGAAACCAGUUCCCUAUGGAUACUGAAGGACAAUUAUUUAUGUCAUUUAAUCCUAUGAAUUAGGUACCAUUAUUGUCCCCAUAAUCAGAUGAACAGGUAAAGAAUGAUUAGGAAACUAAUUAUUUGGCAGAGCCAGAAUUCAAACCUAGGUAGUCUGAGUUCAUACGUGUAAUCUUAAUCACUUUAUAUAACCCUGUUAAAACACAUUUAAUAUUCUUCUCUCCAUGCAGGCAUAACGAGUAUUGCUAUUCUUUAUAGUAAUGAAUAAAACAGCAAGAGGCCAUUAAGACAAAGGGAUGCGAGUGUUGCUUAUGUAUCUAACAGUAUUGUGGGCCAGGUUGACAUGAAAAAACACCUUCUCUGUGAAAAUGAAGGAGUCUGUUUUCUGAAAGUUCAAUGUGUCGUUUUCCUUCAAUAGCUUCUGACAUCAUAUAAGAGGGACACUGAACCUAGCUUAAAACCUAUUAUUAAUUUUCUGCCAUUUAUUAAUCUAAAACAAAAAAAUACAGCUAAGAGAAAGAAGCUAGACACAAAAGACUACAUGCAAUAUGUUUCAAUUGUUAGGAAAUUCUAGAAAAGCCAAAACUAUAAUGUUAGAAUGGAGGUCAGUGGUCAGCAAGGUCAGGAAAUGGGAGGAAGACUUUGGCUGCAAAGGGGCACAAGAGGAAACUUUUUGGGGGUGAUGAAAGUAACGGGUUAGAAAACAGUGAGCUGCAAGCUGCCUGCCUGUUUUUGUAAAUAACAUUUCACUGGAACACAGUCAUGUACACUUGUUUAUAUAUCAUCUAUGGUUGCUUUCACCUCACAACAGUAGAGCUGAGCAAUUGGGACAGAGUCAGUCUGGCCUACCAGUCUAAAGUAGUUUAAGAAAAAAUUUGUUGAUCCUUUCUCUAAAUACUUAUGAUCUCAGUUCCAGCAUAGGAUGGCAGAUUCAAGAUCCGUAUCUGAGUGGAUUAUCUCCACAAACCCCCUAAAACUAUGGUAAAAGAUUUUUUUUAAUAUAGACAUAAAUCAGCAAAGACUAGGAGAACAAGGAAGGAAAAAAAUGACAACAUUUUGGAAGAGAGAGCAGAUAGAAGAGUGGUAACUAAUUUAGCACAUCUGACAAAGUCCAAUCUCAAGCUGGCAGUGGGAAAGCUGAGAACCAACUCCAUUUACACUGCAGAAUCCUCCAAAGCAUAGGGACAGGAUUCCAGGUAUCUCUGGGAUUGAAGGAGAGUGACAUGUACAUGCUAAAAUAAGGCUGUUUGAGAAAUAUUUUCCCAUCUUCCAUUCCACGUGCUUGGCAAAUGUCUUUGCACAUCCUGACAGGAGAGGUUUUGAAAUGGGGCUAUCAGAAACAGUUGGCAUCAGCUUCUCUGAUAUACAAUUGCAUCAUUUCUUUUUCUCUUUGGG
RNAcentral lists this long non-coding RNA (1808 nucleotides) under Homo sapiens (human). RNAcentral's name for it is "HSALNT0091605". Lineage: Eukaryota; Metazoa; Chordata; Mammalia; Primates; Hominidae. The record is from RNAcentral.